This 459-nucleotide ribosomal RNA is filed under the name uncultured Curtobacterium sp. RNAcentral describes it as "bacterial SSU rRNA". It matches the Rfam family "Bacterial small subunit ribosomal RNA", at positions 923 to 1382 of the family's 1533-position model. The record is from RNAcentral. Lineage: Bacteria; Bacillati; Actinomycetota; Actinomycetes; Micrococcales; Microbacteriaceae.
GCACAAGCGGCGGAGCAUGCGGAUUAAUUCGAUGCAACGCGAAGAACCUUACCAAGGCUUGACAUACACCGGUAACGCCCAGAGAUGGGUGCCCCUUUGUGGUCGGUGGACAGGUGGUGCAUGGUUGUCGUCAGCUCGUGUCGUAAGAUGUUGGGUUAAGUCCCGCAACGAGCGCAACCCUCGUCCUAUGUUGCCAGCGGGUCAUGCCGGGGACUCAUGGGAGACUGCCGGGGUCAACUCGGAGGAAGGUGGGGAUGACGUCAAAUCAUCAUGCCCCUUAUGUCUUGGGCUUCACGCAUGCUACAAUGGCCGGUACAAAGGGCUGCGAUACCGCGAGGUGGAGCGAAUCCCAGAAAGCCGGUCUCAGUUCGGAUUGGGGUCUGCAACUCGACCCCAUGAAGUCGGAGUCGCUAGUAAUCGCAGAUCAGCAACGCUGCGGUGAAUACGUUCCCGGGCCUU